Molecule: ribosomal RNA, 301 nt
Filed under: uncultured bacterium
Lineage: Bacteria
Description: partial 16S ribosomal RNA
Rfam family: Bacterial small subunit ribosomal RNA
Source: RNAcentral
CAGUAGCCGCGGUAAUACGAAGGGGGCUAGCGUUAAUCGGAAUUACUGGGCGUAAAGCGUGCGUAGGCGGUUCGUUAAGUCUGUUGUGAAAGCCCCGGGCUCAACCUGGGAAUGGCAAUGGAUACUGGCGAGCUAGAGUGUGUCAGAGGAUGGUGGAAUUCCCGGUGUAGCGGUGAAAUGCGUAGAGAUCGGGAGGAACAUCAGUGGCGAAGGCGGCCGUCUGGGACAACACUGACGCUGAGGCACGAAAGCGUGGGGAGCAAACAGGAUUAGAUACCCCCGUAGUCCCUGUCUCUUAUAC